GGAGAGGUGGUAGAGUGGUCGAUUACGGCAGUCUUGAAAACUGUUGAACGGCGACGUUCCGGGGGUUCGAAUCCCUCCCCCUCCGCCA
RNAcentral lists this transfer RNA (88 nucleotides) under Verrucomicrobiota bacterium. RNAcentral's name for it is "Verrucomicrobia bacterium (gut metagenome) tRNA-Ser". It matches the Rfam family "tRNA". Rfam says of the family: Transfer RNA (tRNA) molecules are approximately 80 nucleotides in length. The record is from RNAcentral. Lineage: Bacteria; Pseudomonadati; Verrucomicrobiota.